Molecule: ribosomal RNA, 525 nt
Filed under: Triticum aestivum (bread wheat)
Lineage: Eukaryota; Viridiplantae; Streptophyta; Magnoliopsida; Poales; Poaceae
Description: partial small subunit ribosomal RNA
Source: RNAcentral
AUGGAGCAGUUCCAUGACGGCCACCACGUGCGGCUGCGCAGCAGCCAGCUUGGCACGUACCUGCACGCCGACGACAACGGGGUUGGCGUCUCACUCCACCACCGCCGGGCGUCGAUGAACGCCGCGUGGGCGGUGCACUUGCACCAUGACGAGACGUGGGAGGAUGACUAUCUUCUCCUCUACAGCGCCGCCUACGGGCGCUACCUCGUCGCCACGGACACGCCGGCGCCGGGAGGCGGCCGCCGCGUCGUGCAGCGCAAGUACGACCAUCCGGAGUUCGAGGCAAUGUUUUGGUAUGCUGCCCUGUCAGAAUCCGGGGACGAAGUCUGCCUCCACCACUUCCACGGCGGCAGCCUCCGUGCCAACACGAGGUACUCGUACCCACGCUGGAACAUCGGCGUCAGCGUCCACGACACCGGAAACGUCACCACGACGAUGCACUGGGUCGUGGAGCACAUCCCCGCCAGGGAGGCAUGCCUCCCCUUCCAGUUCCCUUCGCCGCCGCCAUGUGGGAGUGGCGGCUGA